CUACGGGGCGCAGCAGUGAGGAAUAUUGCACAAUGGGGGGAACCCUGAUGCAGCAACGCCGCGUGGAGGAUGACGCAUUUCGGUGUGUAAACUCCUUUUAUGUGUCAAGAAAAUGACGGUAGCAUAUGAAUAAGCACCGGCUAACUCCGUGCCAGCAGCCGCGGUAAUACGGAGGGUGCAAGCGUUACUCGGAAUCACUGGGCGUAAAGGACGCGUAGGCGGGUUGGAAAGUCAGGUGUGAAAUCCUACAGCUUAACUGUAGAACUGCACUUGAAACUUCUAAUCUAGAGUAUGGGAGGGGGAGAGGGAAUUAGUGGUGUAGGGGUAAAAUCCGUAGAUAUCACUAGGAAUACCUAAAGCGAAGGCGAUCUCCUGGAACGUUACUGACGCUGAGGCGUGAAAGCGUGGGGAGCAAACAGGAUUAGAUACCCCUGUAGUC
This 439-nucleotide ribosomal RNA is filed under the name uncultured bacterium. RNAcentral's name for it is "partial 16S ribosomal RNA". It matches the Rfam family "Bacterial small subunit ribosomal RNA", at positions 339 to 795 of the family's 1533-position model. The record is from RNAcentral.